AUUGAACGCUGGCGGCAGGCCUAACACAUGCAAGUCGAACGAGUGGCGGACGGGUGAGUAAUGUCUGGGAAACUGCCUGAUGGAGGGGGAUAACUACUGGAAACGGUAGCUAAUACCGCAUACCAUCGGAUGUGCCCAGUUGGGAUUAGCUAGUAGGUGGGGUAAAGGCUCACCUGGGCGACGAUCCCUAGCUGGUCUGAGAGGAUGACCGGCCACACUGGAACUGAGACACGGUCCAGACCCCUAGGGGGGGCAGAGUGGGGGAAUAUUGCACAAUGGGCGAAAGCCGGAGGAAGCCAUGCCGCGUGUAUGAAGAAGGCCUUCGGGUUGUAAAGUACUUUCAGCGGGGAGGCGUUACCCGAAGAGGAAGAACCGGCUAACUCCGUGCCAGCCGCCGCGGUAUUC
This 405-nucleotide ribosomal RNA is filed under the name uncultured bacterium. RNAcentral describes it as "partial 16S ribosomal RNA". It matches the Rfam family "Bacterial small subunit ribosomal RNA", at positions 29 to 525 of the family's 1533-position model. The record is from RNAcentral.